This 272-nucleotide long non-coding RNA is filed under the name Lathyrus oleraceus (garden pea). RNAcentral's name for it is "Pisum sativum (pea) long non-coding RNA (PSAT_LNC010855)". The record is from RNAcentral. Lineage: Eukaryota; Viridiplantae; Streptophyta; Magnoliopsida; Fabales; Fabaceae.
AAAAAAGGGCUAGAUUUUUUAAUUUUAUUUUAAAAUGUCAUAUUUAAGAACGACUGUAAUAUAAAUUCAUUAAGAGGGAAUCAAAAAGAGUUUAAAGAUCAAGAAUGAGAAAAGCAUCAUAUGACCACCACAAUCCUUUUCAAGUUUUGCACUUUCUGUUUACAUGCUAUCCUACAAAUAGAAAACUUAUUUGGCUUCCUUGCAAGUGGCGACAAAUUCACACCAUGGAUAUAAGGUGUAUAUUAACCUGGUCCAACAUUUUUAUAUCUUGC